UGAUUUUCAAAAUGGUGCGAUUUUGAGU
This 28-nucleotide non-coding RNA is filed under the name Mus musculus (house mouse). Lineage: Eukaryota; Metazoa; Chordata; Mammalia; Rodentia; Muridae. The record is from RNAcentral.